Molecule: long non-coding RNA, 402 nt
Organism: Zophobas morio
Lineage: Eukaryota; Metazoa; Arthropoda; Insecta; Coleoptera; Tenebrionidae
Exons: 2
Source: RefSeq, a predicted model, not a curated record
GAAACUGAAAAACUUGAUCUAAUUAGCAUUAACUCAGCAGGUGUGUCUAUUACGUUUUGAUUUGCCUCCCAAAUAGUACCAGACACACCCUUUUUAAGAGUACAAGUAUAAAAUGUCUAAAUUUUCAAGAGAACAAUCAGAUCUGAUUUGAUACAAGUCGAACCAACAAUCUACAAAAUGUUCAAACUGCUUUUGUUGUUUGCCCUUUUGGCUUUCGCUCUGGCUGUACCUAAAGCCAAUCCCCAAUUCUACUACGGAAACUUGGGUUAUGGAGGUUACUACGGAUAUGGAGGAUAUGCUGCCGCUGUUCCCUACGCCUAUGGUGCUGCAAUUUAUUAAAUGAUGCAUUGUUGUUACACACUUCAACUAGAUUAGGAUAAUAAAUAGUGAAAAAUAUUAAAA